CAGCCGCCGCGGUAAUACGAAGGGGGCUAGCGUUGUUCGGAAUUACUGGGCGUAAAGGGCGCGUAGGCGGCCAUUCAAGUUAGAUGUGAAAGCCCUGAGCUCAACCUAGGAAUUGCAUUUGAUACUGUUUGGCUUGAGUUCGGGAGAGGUGAGUGGAAUUCCCAGUGUAGAGGUGAAAUUCGUAGAUAUUCGCAAGAACACCAGUGGCGAAGGCGGCUCACUGGCCCGAUACUGACGCUGAGGUGCGAAAGCGUGGGGAGCAAACAGGAUUAGAUACCCCCGUAGUCCCUGUCUCUUAUAA
RNAcentral lists this ribosomal RNA (301 nucleotides) under uncultured bacterium. Its description in RNAcentral is "partial 16S ribosomal RNA". It matches the Rfam family "Bacterial small subunit ribosomal RNA", at positions 509 to 809 of the family's 1533-position model. The record is from RNAcentral.